AAAUCUCUGCUGCUGCCAGAGACAGGCAGUGGCAGCCAGCACUGCAUCCCCUGCACACACCCCUCGCUCCUCAGACUCCAUUUCCUGGUGAUUUCCAGGUUCAUCACUGCACUUUGCUGCUUCAAGGGAGGAGCACAAGAGCUGGGAAUGGAGUGAGGAGCUCUUGGAGACAUCCUGGGGCAGCAGCACAGACAUCUGGAGACCUGCACAGUCCCUCUGCUCACCAGGGGCUCUGGAACCUCCUGGAAUCCCAGAACAUUUAGGCUGGCAAAGACCUCGAGGUCCAUCGGUCCAGCCUGUGGGGCUCCGGGGUGUUCCAGUGAGAGCCCAGCGCUGAGCUCAGCCUGGCAAGGCCGGCCUUGCAGGCAGCACUCAGGCAGCAGCAGCACCCUGUGCCUCCAGCCCGGGGUUUGUGCUGCAGCUCCUGCUGGAUCCCCGCUGGAUGUGGCCGCGUGUGAGGCGAUGUCCGCGGGCUCCGGGGGCAUUUCCCACCCCCAGCACAGCUCCCCCCACUGGGAACCCCAAAGGCAGCGCAGGGCUCUGGCAGCCCCUCCUCCUGCCCAGGGGCUGCUGCUGACGGGCUCCUCCCCUCCGGCACCUGCGGGCAGGGAGCAGCUGAGCCCAGACCAAACCCACAGCGGGGCGGGAGCGGGGCUAAGGCAGCUCCUGGGCUGCGGCUGCUGCAGGAAUGGGACCCAUCUCUGGUGACUCCCUCGGGGCUGUCCCCUGCUAAUGGCCAUCAGACCCUCUGCGUGAGCCAUAAAUGACAUCAUCCCCGGACAUGCUCUGCCCAGGGGAGGAACCGGGCACUCCUGCCCGGUAUCGCUGAGCUCCGGCACCUGCAGCACCGUGCCUGCCGCAUUCCCAGAGGAGAGGAGCUCCACGGUCACCACGGGACCUUCAGAGGAGGAGCAGAGCCUUCUGCAGGGUCACCUCUCCAUCAGAACCACCCCCGAGGGCUGCAGCCACCUGAGCUGGACUGGUACCACGCCCUGACCGACAGGCUGCCAGGUUGUAUCCUGACUCUGGCACUUUCAGCCAGGGCUUUCUGCCUUUAUUUUCAUUUUCCUAUUGAAUUGUGGUUCUGCUUGGGUUGCUUUCAAACUGGUGCACGUUUUGGCUCCCAGUGUGAGGACAGUCCUGAGAGAAUCAGAAUUACAGUUCUGUGUCACAAACCCCCCUGUUCCCCACGGUGCUCCCUUGGCUCCCGUGCCUUGCUCUCUCUGUUUCUCUGCACAGGGGGAACUCCCUGCCUGCUGUAAUGCUCUGCUGGGACCAGGGAAUGGUUUGAAAAUGGCUUUAUUGUUUGUGGUGUCUGCUGCAUGCCCAGGCAGGUGAACUGGAAAGAGGAACACCUUCCACAGGAACCCAUCCAGAGCCAGUUCUGUCUCGUGUACAGAACUCUGGAUGGCACAGGAAUGAUAACAGGACUGAUUCUCUUGAAGGGACCCCAGGAGGGGAGCAGCGUGUACCUGACCAGCAUUGGAGGGGCCCUGCCUCUGGCCAGGGGGAGGACAGGGGCACUGGGAUCUUUGGACUGUGUGGAUCCUUGGCCUGGACCUCUGACCACAGAGAUCUGGUCUCAGCUCUGGUGGACACUGAGGCCAUGCAGAUAGGUGGGAGUGGAGCCCCUUUGUGUUCCUGGGGGCAGGAGGAGCCCAGCAGCUGCAGGGGUUUAACUGGGACCAGGGGCAGGAACGCCCCACCGUGCCUGGCCCAGAGGCCCCGAGCACCCUGGGCCCAGGCUGUGCCAGAAAUGGGCAUUCCAGAUUCCCCAGGGACACCGCUGGGCUCGUGGGGGAGCUGCUGUGGGGACAGAGGGCAGCAGACCCCUGCACACCCUGCCUGCCCUCUCAGCUGGGCCCUGUGCUGGGGCUGCUGGGAGCUGAGAACAGCAGGGACACAGGUACACAAUUCUUCUCAGAACAGGAAUGUGCUGAACAACACCUCAACAACGAUAAAGUGCUGCGCUUUUUUUUUUUUUUUUUUUUUUAAUGAAAACAAAAUAAAAACCUAAACAAGA
This is a long non-coding RNA of Prinia subflava (tawny-flanked prinia), 2023 nucleotides long. RefSeq lists it as uncharacterized. The record is from RefSeq and is a predicted model, not a curated record. The transcript has 2 exons. Lineage: Eukaryota; Metazoa; Chordata; Aves; Passeriformes; Cisticolidae.